RNAcentral lists this non-coding RNA (183 nucleotides) under Marinospirillum sp. RNAcentral's name for it is "6S RNA". It matches the Rfam family "6S / SsrS RNA". From Rfam's summary of the family: E. coli 6S RNA was the first non coding RNA to be sequenced, but its function was unknown until recently. Lineage: Bacteria; Pseudomonadati; Pseudomonadota; Gammaproteobacteria; Oceanospirillales; Oceanospirillaceae. The record is from RNAcentral.
CUAACCCUGGGGUGUUGGCCAGUUGUCCACGUCCUCGAGCCUAUGCUUUACUUCUGGAAAGCUUCUUGCUUUUGCCCGUGUGCAAGUCCACCUUAAGUGGAAAGCCUUAGGUAAAACAGUCGCUUCCACCUUGAACUUUAGGGUUCAAGGGCCACGGAUAACAGCGGCACUCCCGGGGCUCCA